RNAcentral lists this ribosomal RNA (301 nucleotides) under uncultured bacterium. Its description in RNAcentral is "partial 16S ribosomal RNA". It matches the Rfam family "Bacterial small subunit ribosomal RNA", at positions 509 to 809 of the family's 1533-position model. The record is from RNAcentral.
CAGCAGCCGCGGGAAUACGUAGGGUGCGAGCGUUAAUCGGAAUUACUGGGCGUAAAGCGUGCGCAGGCGGUUCGUUAAGACAGAUGUGAAAUCCCCGGGCUUAACCUGGGAACUGCAUUUGUGACUGACGGGCUAGAGUAUGGCAGAGGGGGGUAGAAUUCCACGUGUAGCAGUGAAAUGCGUAGAGAUGUGGAGGAAUACCGAUGGCGAAGGCAGCCCCCUGGGCCAAUACUGACGCUCAUGCACGAAAGCGUGGGGAGCAAACAGGAUUAGAUACCCGAGUAGUCCCUGUCUCUUAUAA